Molecule: microRNA precursor, 175 nt
Filed under: Corchorus olitorius
Lineage: Eukaryota; Viridiplantae; Streptophyta; Magnoliopsida; Malvales; Malvaceae
Description: MIR168 microRNA precursor family
Rfam family: MIR168 microRNA precursor family
Source: Rfam by way of RNAcentral
UUACCGGCGGUCUCUAAUUCGCUUGGUGCAGGUCGGGAACUGAUUGAUUGCCGCUCCUUCUUCUUCUUCUUCUUCUUUUUUUUUCAUUCAAUUGGAUCCAAUUUAAGCCAGCUGAUUGGAGGAUGCGAGAAUUGGAUCCCGCCUUGCAUCAACUGAAUCGGAGACCGCGGUGAGG